GCGGCAGUAGCUCAGUGGUAGAGCCGCGCUUCGCAUUCGGGGAGACCUGGGUUCGAUUCCCGGCUGCUUCC
This 71-nucleotide transfer RNA is filed under the name Toxocara canis (dog roundworm). It matches the Rfam family "tRNA". From Rfam's summary of the family: Transfer RNA (tRNA) molecules are approximately 80 nucleotides in length. Their secondary structure includes four short double-helical elements and three loops (D, anti-codon, and T loops). The record is from Rfam by way of RNAcentral. Lineage: Eukaryota; Metazoa; Nematoda; Chromadorea; Rhabditida; Toxocaridae.